CAGAGAUUUCCGAAUGGGGGAACCCAACAUCUUUAAUAGGAUGUUACGAUUGUGUGAAUACAUAGCACAUUCGAGGUAGACGCAGAGAACUGAAACAUCUAAGUACCUGCAGGAAGAGAAAGAAAAUUCGAUUCCCUGAGUAGCGGCGAGCGAAACGGGAAAAGCCCAAACCAGCAAGCUUGCUUGUUGGGGUUGUAGGACUCCAAUAUGGUAGUUCUUUCAGAUAGUCGAAUGACUUGGAAAAGUCAGUCAAAGAGGGUAAAAACCCCGUAGACGAAAUGUGGAAGACACCUAGGAGGAUCCUGAGUACGGCGGAACACGAGAAAUUCCGUCGGAAUCCGGGAGGACCAUCUCCCAAGGCUAAAUACUCCCUAGUGACCGAUAGUGAACCAGUACCGUGAGGGAAAGGUGAAAAGCACCCCGGAAGGGGAGUGAAAUAGAACCUGAAACCGUGUGCCUACAACAAGUCAAAGCCCGUUAAUGGGUGAUGGCGUGCCUUUUGUAGAAUGAACCGGCGAGUUACGAUUGCAUGCGAGGUUAAGUUGAAGAGACGGAGCCGCAGCGAAAGCGAGUCUGAAUAGGGCGUUUGAGUAUGUAGUCGUAGACCCGAAACCAUGUGAUCUACCCAUGUCCAGGUUGAAGGUGCGGUAAAACGCACUGGAGGACCGAACCCACGUACGUUGAAAAGUGCGGGGAUGAGGUGUGGGUAGCGGAGAAAUUCCAAACGAACUUGGAGAUAGCUGGUUCUCUCCGAAAUAGCUUUAGGGCUAGCCUCGGAAUU
Molecule: ribosomal RNA, 781 nt
Filed under: Enterococcus faecium
Lineage: Bacteria; Bacillati; Bacillota; Bacilli; Lactobacillales; Enterococcaceae
Description: partial 23S ribosomal RNA
Rfam family: Bacterial large subunit ribosomal RNA
Source: RNAcentral